UUUAAAUUGAGAGUUUGAUCCUGGCUCAGGACGAACGCUGGCGGCGUGCCUAACACAUGCAAGUCGAGCGAUGAAACUUCCUUCGGGAAGUGGAUUAGCGGCGGACGGGGGAGUAACACGUGGGUAACCUGCCUCAAAGAGUGGGAUAGCCUUCCGAAAGGGAGAUUAAUACCGCAUAACAUUAUUUUAUGGCAUCAUAAAAUAAUCAAAGGAGCAAUCCGCUUUGAGAUGGACCCGCGGCGCAUUAGCUAGUUGGUGAGGUAACGGCUCACCAAGGCAACGAUGCGUAGCCGACCUGAGAGGGUGAUCGGCCACAUUGGAACUGAGACACGGUCCAGACUCCUACGGGAGGCAGCAGUGGGGAAUAUUGCGCAAUGGGGGAAACCCUGACGCAGCAACGCCGCGUGAGUGAUGAAGGUUUUCGGAUCGUAAAACUCUGUCUUUAGGGACGAUAAUGACGGUACCUAAGGAGGAAGCCACGGCUAACUACGUGCCAGCAGCCGCGGUAAUACGUAGGUGGCAAGCGUUGUCCGGAUUUACUGGGCGUAAAGAGUAUGUAGGUGGGUGCUUAAGUCAGAUGUGAAAUUCCCGGGCUCAACCUGGGAGCUGCAUUUGAAACUGGGCAUCUAGAGUGCAGGAGAGGAAAGUGGAAUUCCUAGUGUAGCGGUGAAAUGCGUAGAGAUUAGGAAGAACACCAGUGGCGAAGGCGACUUUCUGGACUGUAACUGACACUGAGAUACGAAAGCGUGGGUAGCAAACAGGAUUAGAUACCCUGGUAGUCCACGCCGUAAACGAUGAAUACUAGGUGUCGGGGGGUACCACCCUCGGUGCCGCAGCAAACGCAUUAAGUAUUCCGCCUGGGGAGUACGGUCGCAAGAUUAAAACUCAAAGGAAUUGACGGGGACCCGCACAAGCAGCGGAGCAUGUGGUUUAAUUCGAAGCAACGCGAAGAACCUUACCUAGACUUGACAUCUCCUGAAUUACUCUUAAUCGAGGAAGUCCCUUCGGGGACAGGAAGACAGGUGGUGCAUGGUUGUCGUCAGCUCGUGUCGUGAGAUGUUGGGUUAAGUCCCGCAACGAGCGCAACCCUUAUUGUUAGUUGCUACUAUUAAGUUAAGCACUCUAACGAGACUGCCGCGGUUAACGUGGAGGAAGGUGGGGAUGACGUCAAAUCAUCAUGCCCCUUAUGUCUAGGGCUACACACGUGCUACAAUGGCUGGUACAA
This 1225-nucleotide ribosomal RNA is filed under the name Clostridium botulinum D/C. RNAcentral's name for it is "bacterial SSU rRNA". It matches the Rfam family "Bacterial small subunit ribosomal RNA", at positions 1 to 1242 of the family's 1533-position model. The record is from RNAcentral. Lineage: Bacteria; Bacillati; Bacillota; Clostridia; Eubacteriales; Clostridiaceae.